AAUCAAACCCUACUCUGUUUCAAGCCGCCUCCCUCAGCUCUCUGCCUUGUGGUUCUCUCGCCGCCUCCCUCAGGGCUCGGUUAUCUCUGUGCCAGAAGAACUUCGAGUUCUAUUUGAGAGAUUUGGAGCUGUCAGGGACGUGUAUAUUCCCAAGGACUAUUACAGAGGGUCAUGGAUUCAAUGGAGCCUACACAACCUAAUGUUGCCACUACAAGACCAACCAUGAGACCUCCUCGUCCACCGCAGGUGAUAUCUUCUUCUAAUCCUAAUAAAAGAAAAUCACCAUCAACAGCUUGGGACCACUUUGAGAAGUUUAUAGAUGAGGAAGGUAGAACUAAGGCUAGAUGUAUAUAUUGUAGCAAGGAGUACAUGGCUGAUAGCAAAAUUUAUGGGACUUCUAAUUUAAAAAACCAUACACCCAUUUGUCCUGAAUAUCUUUAUAAUGAAUUGCAUGAUGGACAA
Long non-coding RNA from Quercus lobata, 462 nucleotides. RefSeq lists it as uncharacterized. The record is from RefSeq and is a predicted model, not a curated record. Lineage: Eukaryota; Viridiplantae; Streptophyta; Magnoliopsida; Fagales; Fagaceae. The transcript is spliced from 3 exons.